This 434-nucleotide ribosomal RNA is filed under the name uncultured organism. Its description in RNAcentral is "bacterial SSU rRNA". It matches the Rfam family "Bacterial small subunit ribosomal RNA", at positions 346 to 794 of the family's 1533-position model. The record is from RNAcentral.
GUGCAGCAGUCGAGAAUUUUUCACAAUGGGGGAAACCCUGAUGGAGCGACGCCGCGUGGAGGAUGAAGGCCUUUUGGUCGCAAACUCCUGUCAAACGGGAACAAGAAAGUGAUAGUACCGUUAGAGGAAGAGGCGGCUAACCCUGUGCCAGCAGCCGCGGUAAUACAGAGGCCUCAAGCGUUGUUCGGAUUCAUUGGGCGUAAAGGGUGCGUAGGUGGCUUGUUAAGUUGAAGGUGAAAUCUCGGGGCUCAACUCCGAAACUGCCUUCAAUACUGGCGAGCUCGGGGAUUGUAGAGGAGAAUGGAAUUCACGGUGUAGCAGUGAAAUGCGUAGAUAUCGUGAGGAAGACCAGCGGCGAAGGCGAUUCUCUGGGCAAUUCCUGACACUGAGGCACGAAGGCCAGGGGAGCAAACGGGAUUAGAUACCCCUGUAGU